RNAcentral lists this transfer RNA (72 nucleotides) under Camelus ferus (Wild Bactrian camel). It matches the Rfam family "tRNA". Rfam says of the family: Transfer RNA (tRNA) molecules are approximately 80 nucleotides in length. The record is from Rfam by way of RNAcentral. Lineage: Eukaryota; Metazoa; Chordata; Mammalia; Artiodactyla; Camelidae.
GAGGGUGAAGCUUAGGAGUGGAGUGUGUGCUUAACAAGCACGAGGUCCUGGGUUCAAUCCCCAGUGCUUCCA